CAGAAAGUUAUGGGGUCAAUAUG
RNAcentral lists this microRNA (23 nucleotides) under Panagrellus redivivus. Its description in RNAcentral is "prd-miR-7958-5p". The record is from miRBase by way of RNAcentral. Lineage: Eukaryota; Metazoa; Nematoda; Chromadorea; Rhabditida; Panagrolaimidae.